AUUGAACGCUAGCGGGAUGCUUUACACAUGCAAGUCGAACGGCAGCGCGGACUUCGGUCUGGCGGCGAGUGGCGAACGGGUGAGUAAUGUAUCGGAACGUGCCCAGUAGCGGGGGAUAACUACGCUAAAGCGUAGCUAAUACCGCAUACGCCCUACGGGGGAAAGCAGGGGAUCGUAAGACCUUGCACUUUUUGACCUGCCGAUAUCGGAUUUGCUAGUUGGUGUGGUAACGGCUCACCAAGGCGACGAUCCGUAGCUGGUUUGAGAGGACGACCAGCCAAACUGGAACUGAGACACGGACAAGACUACUAAGGGAGGCAGCAGUGGGGAAUUUUGGACAAUGGGGGAAACCCUGAUCCAGCAAACCCGAGUGUGAGAUGAAGGACUACGGGUUGUAAAGAAAUUUUGGCAGGAAAGAAAAGAAGCGGGAUAAUAACACGUGGAAAUGACGGUACCUGAAGAAUAAGCAACGGCUAACUACGUG
This 484-nucleotide ribosomal RNA is filed under the name uncultured bacterium. Its description in RNAcentral is "partial 16S ribosomal RNA". It matches the Rfam family "Bacterial small subunit ribosomal RNA", at positions 30 to 507 of the family's 1533-position model. The record is from RNAcentral.